GGACCAGUUUUCUUGGCACUUGUGGAAUUCUCUGUUUUGUUGCAUGUAAUGUGCAGCUUCAUGGCAUCACAGAAUUCCCCAGUACCAAGGAAACUGUUCC
This 100-nucleotide microRNA precursor is filed under the name Branchiostoma belcheri (Belcher's lancelet). RNAcentral describes it as "microRNA bbe-mir-182b precursor". Its record names the gene bbe-mir-182b. Lineage: Eukaryota; Metazoa; Chordata; Leptocardii; Amphioxiformes; Branchiostomatidae. The record is from miRBase by way of RNAcentral.